GCCAGCAUGGUAUAGUGGUUUCAGCAUUGGACUAGGACUCUAGAGACCAGAGUUCGAUUCCCAGCUUGGCC
RNAcentral lists this transfer RNA (71 nucleotides) under Phrynosoma platyrhinos (Desert horned lizard). Its description in RNAcentral is "tRNA-OTHER". The record is from RNAcentral. Lineage: Eukaryota; Metazoa; Chordata; Lepidosauria; Squamata; Phrynosomatidae.